Onychostoma macrolepis is the source of this 2422-nucleotide long non-coding RNA. RefSeq lists it as uncharacterized. The transcript is spliced from 3 exons. Lineage: Eukaryota; Metazoa; Chordata; Actinopteri; Cypriniformes; Cyprinidae. The record is from RefSeq and is a predicted model, not a curated record.
UCUCAAGCCAACUUCACAUUGACGUCAAAUACUGAUAUUUAGUCGUCAGGUAUGGCAACCAAAACCCAAUGUCUCCUAGACGUCAUAAUGGAAACGUCCACACAACGUCAAAUUCUAACAUCAUUAGACAUUGAUAUUUAGUUAGACUUAGGUUGGGGCAUUAACUAACCAAAAUCCAACGUCGAGCCAAUGUCUGAAGCCAACGUCACAUUGACGUCAAACACUAACAUUUAGUCGUCAGGUAUGGCGACCAAAACCCAACGUCUCCUAGACAUCAUAAUGGUAACGUCCACACAACAUCAAACUCUAACAUCAUUAGACGUUGAUCUUUUGUUAGUUUUAGGUUGUGGCAUUAACUAACCAAAAUCCAACGUCAAGCCAACGUCUUAAGCCAACGUCAUAUUGAUGUCAAAUACUGACAUUUAGUCGUCAGGUAUGGCGACCAAAACCUGACAUUUAGUCGUCAGGUAUGGCAACCAAAACCCAACAUCUCCUAGACGUCAUAAUGGUAACGUCCACACAACGUCAAAUUCUAACAUCAUUAGACGUUGAUAUUUAGUUAGAUUUAGGUUGCGGCAUUAACCAACCAAAAUUCAACGUCAAGCCAACGUCUUAAGCCAACGUCAUACUGAUGUCAAUGGCGACCAAAACCCAACAUCUCGUAGACGUCAUAUUGGUAACGUCCACACAACGUCCAACUCUAACAUCAUUAGACGUUGAUCUUUUGUUAGUUUUAGGUUGUGGCAUUAACUAACCAAAAUCCAUUAUACCAAAAUACUGACAUUUAGUCGUCAGGUAUGGCGACCAAAACCCAACAUCUCGUAGACGUCAUAUUGGUAACGUCCACACAACGUCCAACUCUAACAUCAUUAGACGUUGAUCUUUUGUUUACAGAAGGCCGUUACAGAAGGUGUUAAUACAGAAGGCCGCGUUUGCUGAUCUUAUUUUUAAUAACAGUAUGAAAUAGUAAAAAAUAACUAACGUUAUAUUGUUAUUUUAUUGUAAAAUAAAAUGUCUCACUGUGGAACAUGAAAAAUUGGCAUAUACACUUGUUCAACAGAGAGGACAUGAAACCACCAUUCUUGAACUCUGAAGAAUACUAUGCAAACCAUGCUUUUGGAUCUACUGUUAAGUUUUUGUAAUAAAGCUGGUGAGUAGGCUAAAUUUCUGUAAGCCCAUGUCUCUGUCAGUAAGUCAACAAUAUUGUUCUAUUAAACCUGUUAAUAUUCAUUUGUGUGUGUUCUCCCUCUCAUGGUCCAGAGGUUUUGGGAUUGAAAAUCUUCUGCCACAUGAUCUUCCGUAAAAAAAAAAGUCAGUUAUGCAGAUUGGAAAAGACAUUGAUGCAGCAAGGAUCCAGCUGAUUACUUCAGAUUUGGUGGACUGCUCUUUAUCUGCUGUGACUGUCACUUCUGGUGCAGAAUCAUGGACCUUUAUUUGUAUGUUUUGAUUUGACUUAUUACACUUGUGUAGCUAGUAUUCAGGAUUAAAAUACAAUGUAAUUUUUGUCCACAUAUAUUAUCAGAGCUAUAUGGAAUCCAAUAGGGUCAGUCAAAUAUUGAGAAAAAACACUAUAAACCUGAUUGGGAAAAUACAAGCUAAAAUACAGUUGCCUCCACAAUCUUUUUCAAAGAAAAAAUCAUGAUACUAAAAUUUUUUGUUUUUCAAUUGCUCCUCAAGAAUUCCUCCUCAGGAAUUUGUUUACAUAAAUUUACAUCUAAAUAAUGAAACAGUUUUAAGCAUGGAAUACACUACACGACUUCUGAACAGAUUUUUAAAACAUAUUUUUGACUUACCGACUUUGUAAAUAAUGACAAAGGAAAGCUGGGCAUCAUAUCCUUAAGCCUGGAAUACACUACACGAUUUUUGCCCUGAUUUUCCGCCAAUUUACAGUCAGGAGAAGUUGACGCUAGUUGCCGAAAGUCAGAGCCAGUCUGCAGAUUUGAGAUGACAGAUUCCAUAGAAAAUUGCAUAGUGUAUGAUAGUCACAGACUAUCAAACGUUUGAUAUUUUCAGCCGAUUUUACAAUGCAUAUUGUUUUCAUUUGUCAUGCGUCUCCUAGCAACAAGGCUCAUGUUUCUGAGUGAGUUUGUUGUGAUCGGAACAACUUUAAAGUCUGGUAGUGUGUGAUCCUCAGUCAUGUAGUGUAUGAUGCCCAGUUUUCCUUUGUCGCUAUUUACAAAGUCAGUAUAUGUAUGAUGCCUAGUGUUUUAAAAAUCUGUUCAGAUUUUAAAAGUCAUAUAGUGUAUUCCAGCCUUUAGAAUUAACAGUCAUUUGAAACAGUGGCAAUCUUGUAGAUGUUUUGUAUUUCUUCUUUUGAGAAUAUUUAAUUCAACUUCUGAUCAAACUGUUCUGUUAAUUGGUACAGUAUUGUAAAUGUUGAAAUGUAUUUCCUUUCAAAUUUGUACUUUUUUUUUCUUCAAAA